RNAcentral lists this long non-coding RNA (1237 nucleotides) under Pavo cristatus (Indian peafowl). Its description in RNAcentral is "lncRNA (ENSPSTG00000010499.1)". Lineage: Eukaryota; Metazoa; Chordata; Aves; Galliformes; Phasianidae. The record is from RNAcentral.
AAGCUCUUUCCCGCUGUUCUUACAGCCUCAGCCCUCGCAGGUUCGGAAGGGGGACAUGAAGCCCUCACUGAGUGCGGGCAGGCAGGUGGGAAACCUCUGGCAGGAAUUGCUGCUCGGCUCAGCUUGCUUUCUGUCGCCGUGUCUCUCACCCCCGUUUUCGUUCGCUUCCAGGCCGCAGCACUGAGGCGGGAGGUAGCUCCACAUUUCCCCUUCUAGAAGCUGUUGAAAUGCAAUUGCGAGUUUGUGCAUCGCGUUUCCAAGGGGACGGCCCCGCGCAGCGCGGACAGCCGCGCGCAGCUGAAUCCUGCUGGGUUCAGCGCCGCACUGUCAGUACCACGCAGUUAUUUCUGAAAAGCCCGCGGCGUUGUGCUGCUUUUUACGCGGUGAUCGCGGUGUUUCUUAAUCUUUCCAUGUGUGCUGUAUAACUUUUGAGGUACUUUGCGCACAGACAAUAGCUUUAAUUCUUUUCUUCCCUGAGAAAUAUGCAGGCAAAAAUACGGUCUGCCUGUCUUUCAGCAAAGGUUCAGACCUCUCUUUGCAUGCCUCUGGGUUAGCUUCGUGCUUCCAUUUGCUUCUUUCUCAUCAGGACUCUGCAUCCUGCAGUGAAGCCACAGAAACAGUAAUGCUGUCUCAGGCUCUAUCAGAGCAGGAACUGAGAUCUGAGUUGUGGAGCAGCCUGGAGGUUGGGGGCUGCUUUGCCUAGAUGGCAGAAAUCUCUGAGGCUGCUGCAUUUUGUGUCUCGUGUAAAUUCAAUUUAAUAUAUGCAGUUGUUAAAUUAUUUUCUGGACGUGAAUAAUUGGAUAAUUCUUGUAUUGCAUUUUUGUUAUGCUUUAAGAUGCCACGCUCAGAUGGAGCACCUUCCAAUAAAAAGACUUUGAGAAGUUCGUUUCUUCCCAUUGUUUUGCCUUCAGCGGUUGUAUCAGAAACGUCACCAUUACAGAAUAAGCUGCUGACGUACCGAAGAUGCAAAGAACAGCAAACAAUGCUUAAUCAGUUACUAAUUGAUCGAGCUUUAGAAGUCUAUUCUGAAUCCAUGGAGGAGGAAUAUCACAGAGGUUCUGCACCUCCAAUCCCAGAACUAGCUGCCGCUGUAAGCACGUAUUUCUUUAGUAUUGUCACUACUGCUUAUUUUGUGCUUUACUAUUGGGACAUUUAUGCUUUUAUUCUUAAUAUUCACUUAAAGAUACUUGUGUCCGUUCUUAAUAAUUCAUAAAUGGAUUUAUAUUCUCAAGUAGUC